GACGGGGACCCGGACAAGCGGUGGAUGAUGUGGAUUAAUUCGAUGCAACGCGAACAACCUUACCUACCCUUGACAUGUCCGGAAGCCUGUAGAGAUACGGGGGUGCCCGAAAGGGAGCCGGAACACAGGUGCUGCAUGGCUGUCGUCAGCUCGUGUCGUGAGAUGUUGGGUUAAGUCCCGCAACGAGCGCAACCCUUGUCCUUAGUUGCUACGCAAGGGCACUCUAAGGAGACUGCCGGUGACAAACCGGAGGAAGGUGGGGACGACGUCAAGUCCUCAUGGCCCUUAUGGGUAGGGCUUCACACGUCAUACAAUGGCCGGUACAGAGGGUUGCCAACCCGCGAGGGGGAGCCAAUCCCAGAAAGCCGGUCGCAGUCCGGAUUGCAGUCUGCAACUCGACUGCAUGAAGUCGGAAUCGCUAGUAAUCGCGGAUCAGCAUGUCGCGGUGAAUACGUUCCCGGGUCUUGUACACACCGCCCGUCACACCAUGGGAGUGGGUUUUACCAGAAGCAGGUAGCCUAACCGUAAGGAGGGCGCCUACCACGGUAGGAUUCAUGACUGGGGUGAAGUCGUAACAAGGUAGCCGUA
RNAcentral lists this ribosomal RNA (588 nucleotides) under uncultured Pseudomonadota bacterium. RNAcentral describes it as "bacterial SSU rRNA". It matches the Rfam family "Bacterial small subunit ribosomal RNA", at positions 912 to 1504 of the family's 1533-position model. The record is from RNAcentral. Lineage: Bacteria; Pseudomonadati; Pseudomonadota.